RNAcentral lists this ribosomal RNA (571 nucleotides) under Scheffersomyces stipitis. Its description in RNAcentral is "eukaryotic LSU rRNA". It matches the Rfam family "Eukaryotic large subunit ribosomal RNA", at positions 23 to 601 of the family's 3401-position model. Lineage: Eukaryota; Fungi; Ascomycota; Pichiomycetes; Serinales; Debaryomycetaceae. The record is from RNAcentral.
ACCCGCUGAACUUAAGCAUAUCAAUAAGCGGAGGAAAAGAAACCAACAGGGAUUGCCUUAGUAACGGCGAGUGAAGCGGCAAAAGCUCAAAUUUGAAAUCUGGCACCUUCGGUGUCCGAGUUGUAAUUUGAAGAAGGUAACUUUGGAGUCAGCUCUUGUCUAUGUUCCUUGGAACAGGACGUCACAGAGGGUGAGAAUCCCGUGCGAUGAGAUGUCUGAUUCUAUGUAAAGUGCUUUCGAAGAGUCGAGUUGUUUGGGAAUGCAGCUCUAAGUGGGUGGUAAAUUCCAUCUAAAGCUAAAUAUUGGCGAGAGACCGAUAGCGAACAAGUACAGUGAUGGAAAGAUGAAAAGAACUUUGAAAAGAGAGUGAAAAAGUACGUGAAAUUGUUGAAAGGGAAGGGUUUGAGAUCAGACUUGGUAUUUUGUAUGUCUUGCUUUCGGGUGGGGCCUCUACAGUUUACUGGGCCAGCAUCGGUUUGGACGGUAGGAUAAUGACAUUGGAAUGUGGCACCACUUCGGUGGUGUGUUAUAGACUUUGUUGAUACUGCCUGUCUAGACCGAGGACUGCGUC